AUAAACCAGUUACAGCAAUUGAUGGAUGCCUUGGCUUCAUCAGGCGACGAAGGACGCAGCAAGCUGCGAUAAGCUUCGGGGAGCGGCACGCACGCUUUGAUCCGAAGAUCUCCGAAUGGGGAAACCCGGCACCGUUCAUACGGUGUCUCGCUGGUCUGAAUUCAUAGGACCAGUUUGAGCGAUACGCGGCGAAGUGAAACAUCUCAGUAACCGCAGGAAAAGAACGAGAAUCGAUUCCGUCAGUAGUGGCGAGCGAAAGCGGAACAGCCCAAACCAGCGGGAUUUAUCCUGCUGGGGUUGUAGGACCACGAUAUGAGACCAUGACGAUUAGACGAACACUCUGGAAAGUGUGACCAUAGCGGGUGACAGUCCCGUAGUUUAAAGUCCGAAUGGCUCUAGUGGUAUCCUGAGUAGCACCGUACACGUGAAAUCCGGUGUGAAUCUGUGCCGACCACGGCAUAAGGCUAAAUACUCGAUGAAGACCGACAGUGAACUAGUACCGCGAGGGAAAGGUGAAAAGCACCCCUGUUAGGGGAGUGAAAUAGUAACUGAAAUCAAUUGCUAACAAGUCAGUGGGAGCUCCCUUGUGGAGUGACCGCCUGCCUUUUGUAUAAUGAGUCUGCGAGUUAUUCCCCGUAGCAAGCUUAAGCCGGUCCCCGGCGAAAGCGCAGCGAAAGCGAGUCCAAAUAGGGCGCUCAGUUGCUGGGAAUAGACCCGAAGCGGAGGUGAUCUAACCAUGGCCAGGAUGAAACUCGGGUAAAACCGAGUGGAGGUCCGAACCGGUCAAUCUUGAGAAAUUGUCGGAUGAGCUGUGGUUAGGAGCGAAAGACUAAUCAAACCCUGUGAUAGCUGGUUCUUUCCGAAAUAUAUUUGGGUAUAGCGUCGGAUGCUGAUGAGUGGAGGUAGAGCACUAAAUAAGCUAGGGCCCCUACCGGGGUACUGAACUUAAUUAAACUCCGAAUACCACUCAGUGAAGUCCGGCAGUCAGACUGUGGGGGAUAACCUUCAUAGUCGAGAGGAGAAUAAUCCAUACCAUCAGUUAAGGUCCCAAAAUAUGGCUCAGUGAAAAAGGAUGUGAUUUUGCUUAGACAAUGGGGAUGUUGGCUUAGAGGCAGCCAUCAUUUAAACAGUGCGUAACAGCUGACCCAUCGAGCGAAAUUGCGCCGAAAAUGAUCGGGACUUAAGCCAUAUACCGAAGCUAUGGGUGCACCGCAAGGUGCGCAGUAGGAAAGCGUCCCAAGUGCAGCGAAGGGGAAGGGGUAACCGACUCUGGAGCGCUUGGGAGUGAGAAUGCAGACAUAAGUAACGAUAAAGCCGGUUGAAAUCCGGCUCGCCGAAAUCCCAAGGAUUCCUGGGGAAGGUUCGUCCUCCCAGGGUUAGUCGGGUGCUAAGACGAGGCCGUAAGGAGUAGUCGAUGCCAAGCAGGUUUAAUAUUCCUGCACCACUGUAUAUAGGUUCGACCUAAGGGGUGACGGAGAAAGUUAAUUCAGCGACGUGUUGAAUCGUCGUCCAAGCUCGUAGGCUGCUCGGGGAUAAAAGACCGGGUAAGGCCGAAAAGCGAUGGGACCCUGAGGCCACGGCCAAGGGGGAUUGAAUGAUACUCAGCUCCCAAGAAAAACCUCGUAGUUACUAUAUAGGGUGCCCGUACCGUAAACCGACACAGGUGGGAUAGAUGAGUAUUCUAAGGCGCGCAGGUUAAAUCUCUCUAAGGAACUCGGCAAAUUAACCCCGUAUCUUCGGUAGAAGGGGUGCCCCGCAAGGGGCCGCAGUUAAUUGCGUCAACCGACUGUUUAGCAAAAACACAGCACUCUGCUAAGUCGCAAGACGACGUAUAGGGUGUGACACGUGACCAAUGCGGAAAGGUGAAAGUCUUGGGUGCAAGCUCAGGAUCUAAGCCCCCGUGAAUGUCGGCCGUAACUAUAACGGUCCUAAGGUAGCGAAAUUCCUUGUCGGGUAAGUUCC
Molecule: ribosomal RNA, 1962 nt
Filed under: compost metagenome
Description: bacterial LSU rRNA
Rfam family: Bacterial large subunit ribosomal RNA
Source: RNAcentral